UCAGGCCUGUCGUCCAGGACUUAAGAGUUGGCUCCAGGCGGCAACGGGGAUGCAGAAGCGAGCGAGCCUGCGAGAGCACCAAGGCUAGCCUCCGAGGCGAACCCCAGAAACGCCAGGACGGGUAACUUGCCCCUUUGCGCUUCCCUGCUCGGCCCACUCAGGUUGCGGCUGGGAAUGACCCUCGCCGCCCGCCGUUCUUCUUCCGGAAGUAGUUGGCCGUUACCAUAGCGACUGCAGGCGUCCGGAGCGCUGAGCAGAGGUGCAGUGGCUCAUGCCUGUAAUCCCAGCACUUUGGGAGGCCGAGGCAGGCGGAUCACAAGGUCAGGAGUUCGACACGAGACCAGCCUGCCCAACAUGGUAAAACCCCAUCUCUCCUGAAAAUACAAAAAUAGCCUGGCGUGGUGGUGUGCACCUGUAAUCCCAGCUACUCAGGAGGCUGAGGCAGGAGAACUGCUUGAACCCUGGAGGCAAAGGUUGCAGCGAACAGAGAUCGGGCCACUGUUAUCCAGCCUGGGUGACAGAGUGAGACUCCGUCUCAAAAAAUAAAUAAAUAAAAUAAGUGUUUCCUUUUAAUGCUAC
This 579-nucleotide long non-coding RNA is filed under the name Pongo abelii (Sumatran orangutan). RNAcentral's name for it is "lincRNA". The record is from RNAcentral. Lineage: Eukaryota; Metazoa; Chordata; Mammalia; Primates; Hominidae.